CCUUUAAUGGAGAGUUUGAUCCUGGCUCAGGACGAACGCUGGCGGCGUGCCUAAUACAUGCAAGUCGAGCGGAGUUAUUCCUUCGGGGAUAGCUUAGCGGCGGACGGGUGAGUAACACGUAGG
This 123-nucleotide ribosomal RNA is filed under the name Paenibacillus albiflavus. RNAcentral describes it as "Paenibacillus sp. 18JY21-1 partial 16S ribosomal RNA". It matches the Rfam family "Bacterial small subunit ribosomal RNA", at positions 1 to 121 of the family's 1533-position model. The record is from RNAcentral. Lineage: Bacteria; Bacillati; Bacillota; Bacilli; Caryophanales; Paenibacillaceae.